This 538-nucleotide ribosomal RNA is filed under the name Didymella macrostoma. RNAcentral's name for it is "eukaryotic LSU rRNA". The stretch from base 209 to 362 matches the Rfam family "5.8S ribosomal RNA". The record is from RNAcentral. Lineage: Eukaryota; Fungi; Ascomycota; Dothideomycetes; Pleosporales; Didymellaceae.
UCUUGGUCCAUUUAGAGGAAGUAAAAGUCGUAACAAGGUUUCCGUAGGUGAACCUGCGGAAGGAUCAUUACCUAGAGUUGUGGGCUUUGCCUGCUAUCUCUUACCCAUGUCUUUUGAGUACUUACGUUUCCUCGGUGGGUUCGCCCGCCGAUUGGACAAUUUAAACCCUUUGCAGUUGCAAUCAGCGUCUGAAAAACAUAAUAGUUACAACUUUCAACAACGGAUCUCUUGGUUCUGGCAUCGAUGAAGAACGCAGCGAAAUGCGAUAAGUAGUGUGAAUUGCAGAAUUCAGUGAAUCAUCGAAUCUUUGAACGCACAUUGCGCCCCUUGGUAUUCCAUGGGGCAUGCCUGUUCGAGCGUCAUUUGUACCUUCAAGCUUUGCUUGGUGUUGGGUGUUUGUCUCGCCUUUGCGUGUAGACUCGCCUUAAAACAAUUGGCAGCCGGCGUAUUGAUUUCGGAGCGCAGUACAUCUCGCGCUUUGCACUCAUAACGACGACGUCCAAAAGUACUUUUUUACACUCUGACCUCGGAUCAGUAG